AGCAGCCGCGGUAAUUCCAGCUCCAAUAGCGUAUAUUAAAGUUGUUGCAGUUAAAAAGCUCGUAGUUGAAUUUCGAGAUCAAUUUGUCGGUCGUGCCUCGGUACGUACUGGCAUUAUUGAUUUCCCCCUUCUGAAGAACCGCGAUGUCAUUAAUUUGGUGUCGUGGGGAAUCAGGACUGUUACUUUGAAAAAAUUAGAGUGUUUAAAGCAGGCGCACGCUUGAAUACAUUAGCAUGGAAUAAUGAAAUAGGACGUUUGAUUCUAUUUUGUUGGUUUCUGGGAUCGACGUAAUGAUUAAUAGGGAUAGUUGGGGGCAUUAGUAUUCAAUUGUCAGAGGUGAAAUUCUUGGAUUUAUUGAAGACUAACUACUGCGAAAGCAUUUGCCAAGGAUGUUUUCAUUAAUCAAGAACGAAAGUUAGGGGAUCGAAGACGAUCAGAUACCGUCGUAGUCUUAACCAUAAACUAUGCCGACUAGGGAUCGGGUGAUGUUAAUUUUUAAUGACUCAUUCGGCGCCUUAAC
This 520-nucleotide ribosomal RNA is filed under the name uncultured Glomus. RNAcentral describes it as "SSU rRNA". It matches the Rfam family "Eukaryotic small subunit ribosomal RNA", at positions 569 to 1092 of the family's 1831-position model. The record is from RNAcentral. Lineage: Eukaryota; Fungi; Glomeromycota; Glomeromycetes; Glomerales; Glomeraceae.